This 85-nucleotide transfer RNA is filed under the name Syntrophorhabdus sp. RNAcentral describes it as "tRNA-Leu". It matches the Rfam family "tRNA". Rfam says of the family: Transfer RNA (tRNA) molecules are approximately 80 nucleotides in length. Their secondary structure includes four short double-helical elements and three loops (D, anti-codon, and T loops). Lineage: Bacteria; Pseudomonadati; Thermodesulfobacteriota; Syntrophorhabdia; Syntrophorhabdales; Syntrophorhabdaceae. The record is from RNAcentral.
GCCUGGGUGGCGGAACAGGCAGACGCAAGGGACUUAAAAUCCCUCGCUCCUCGCGAGUGUACGGGUUCGACCCCCGUCCCAGGCA